This 38-nucleotide transfer RNA is filed under the name Anastrepha fraterculus. Its description in RNAcentral is "partial tRNA-Tyr". Lineage: Eukaryota; Metazoa; Arthropoda; Insecta; Diptera; Tephritidae. The record is from RNAcentral.
GAUUAAGGCAAUUAAAAUAUUCUUUAAGAAUUUAUUAA